CACUCUCUCAGUCAUUUCUUUUUUGAGAGUUCUCAAACUCUCCCUUCUCCCCGACUGAGAGCUUCAUAUGUAUCUAGUCUCACAGGCCCCUACUAUCUGAUGGCCAUCUCCACAUCAAAUCAGCCCUAAAUCUGACUGGAGAUCUUAACUGGCUACCCAAAUCGACCCAAAAACCAUUGUUUCCUCCUGUAACCUCCCUAUUUAGCCUCGUCUGAACCCCCUAAAAUGAAACGACGCCUCGACAACCCUUCUCCAACGAAGCUCACGACAGCGAUUCCUCUACCAUCUCCUUAUAUCUCAACCCGAGAGUAACCAGAUUGCCCCCAACAGAUCCUUUUAAACUUAUAUGCAAAAACCCCUAAAGUGAUGGAUAGACCAAACGACUACCUUGACUCUGGCGAGGACUCAAUUGACUAAGACGAUAGAACCCCAAACGUCUAUGAGACAUAGCCGAUGAGACUCCACCGGUGUUCGCACAACUCAGGUAACCCAACCCUCUCACUUUAUUUUCUAUUUAUUUCAAAACCAAAGCACAUACACAGCACACUGAAAAUCGAAAGAAAGAUGGAUGAUACCUAAAAAAGCAUAUUUGCUUUAUAUUUCCUUCACGUAAAAAUGAGGGUCCAGUCUUUUUACAAAUGUUCUAUGUGGGUGUAAUACCUGAUUAAAAAAUUCCCCCAAAAAAUGAAAUUUUCCUUCCCCUUUUCUGGUUGUUAUAUACUCUGGUUCCUGUUUUUUUUUUUUUGGGAUCCCAGGGGACCCUUUUUACAAUCGCCGUUGGGAUUUUAUAGAACCCCAUUUACAAUAAAAAAUGAUUAAAA
This is a long non-coding RNA of Hibiscus syriacus, 821 nucleotides long. RefSeq lists it as uncharacterized. Lineage: Eukaryota; Viridiplantae; Streptophyta; Magnoliopsida; Malvales; Malvaceae. The transcript has 2 exons. The record is from RefSeq and is a predicted model, not a curated record.